This 645-nucleotide ribosomal RNA is filed under the name uncultured Porphyromonadaceae bacterium. RNAcentral describes it as "bacterial SSU rRNA". It matches the Rfam family "Bacterial small subunit ribosomal RNA", at positions 74 to 715 of the family's 1533-position model. Lineage: Bacteria; Pseudomonadati; Bacteroidota; Bacteroidia; Bacteroidales; Porphyromonadaceae. The record is from RNAcentral.
AAGUAGCAAUACUUUGGUGGCGACCGGCGCACGGGUGAGUAACGCGUAUGCAACCCACUUAUCAGAGGGGAAUAACCCGGCGAAAGUCGGACUAAUACCGCAUAAAACAGGGACACCGCAUGGUGAUAUUUGUUAAAGAAAUUCGCUGAUAGAUGGGCAUGCGUUCCAUUAGGUAGUUGGUGAGGUAACGGCUCACCAAGCCGACGAUGGAUAGGGGAACUGAGAGGUUGGUCCCCCACACUGGUACUGAGACACGGACCAGACUCCUACGGGAGGCAGCAGUGAGGAAUAUUGGUCAAUGGGCGAGAGCCUGAACCAGCCAAGUCGCGUGAAGGAAGAAGGAUCUAUGGUUCGUAAACUUCUUUUGCAGGGGAAUAAAGUGCAGGACGUGUCCUGUUUUGUAUGUACCCUGAGAAUAAGGAUCGGCUAACUCCGUGCCAGCAGCCGCGGUAAUACGGAGGAUCCGAGCGUUAUCCGGAUUUAUUGGGUUUAAAGGGUGCGUAGGUGGUUUGAUAAGUCAGCGGUGAAAGUUUGCGGCUUAACUGUAAAAAUGCCGUUGAAACUGUCGGACUUGAGUGUAAAUGAGGUAGGCGGAAUGCGUGGUGUAGCGGUGAAAUGCUUAGAUAUCACGAAGAACUCCGAUUG